ACCACCUACUUUGUUCUACUCGUGCCUUAGCACUCCCCCUGUGCCCUGUACUUCCAGAAGUUUAGCCCUUUGUUAGGGCAUCUAGUCUAUAACAUGGCAAGCUACUGUCUAUAACUGAUUUUAGUUAUAUUCUGCUGGAUUUGUACCUCACUCUACUAUAGCACGCUUUAAAAAUGCACAGGGGAAUUGUAGGCAGAGAGGGCACAAAGUACAGCAAAAGAAAAGUACACAGCAAGUUGUGUGUCUGGGAGGGUCAGGAAGGAGUCACACACGGUGACACCACAUCCAAGGGCAAAAUUACUUUCUUUAUUGAACAUAUUUUUUAAUCCCGCCUCUCUCCUUCAAAAGGACCCAAGUUAUGAUCGUUCUUGAUACAAAGCCUCCGGAACUACUGAGUACAGUACUGUGCGCCAGUUAUCCGCCCGAUGCCCUUAUUAGGAGGAAAGGCCCUAAACCUCCCCUUCGAUGAGGAAAUCAGAUCAUAAAUAUCCUCCCCGCCACCCACCCGCACCCAGAGGUGGUUUAAGCGUGCAAGAGGCGGCCUGAGGCGUCCUCCCGGGAGCUGCCUCAGGACCCAGCCUCUCUCUCCAAAAAGCCGCUCCCUUCGACCGUCUCGGCACCUGCUCGAACUUGAGCGGCUCUUUGCUUUAUGAACAGCGAGGGCUCCUCCGUCGUCUCCGGACAGCCCCGAACGAGGAGAGUCGUGGGGAAGGUUUGAGAGAGAGAAAGAAAAGAGUUCACAGGACCAGCGAAACCGCGCCUUUGGAGGAAGAGGCGGCAGCAGCAGCCGCCAUCGCGCGGAUUUUCACUUUCGCUACUUCGAGCGGCCGGGACGCCGGGACGACGCGACGGCCAUGUGGGGACUGUUCUGGGCUCUGCUCCUGCUUCUUCGGUUGGAGCUUCCGCUCGGGGCCUCGCCAGAAGAACAGUGUCAUCAGAAUACCAUCGGUGGCAUUGAAGGAAAAGAUAUUGCUUUACACCCAAAUGUUAGUGGCUCGCCAGCAGAGAUUACCUGGAUGAAAGACAGAAAUAUAGUGGCUACGUCAAUUGAUGGUUUUCCAACAAAGAACAAUUUAGAGCUUAUCGUUAAUAAUGGUAGUUUGAUUCUCCACAACCUGUCACUGAAAGAUGUUGGAUGUUACAAAGCUGAAAUUGAAGUUAAAGAUGAAGUAACAGAAACAUUUUUUGGUUUGAAAGUAUUAGUACCACCUAGUUUAACCUGCUCUACCAAUGAUAGCAUCCAAAUAAGCUGCAAUCUGCCCACCAACAUGCUGGAUCUGUCACCAUCAUAUGAGUGGAAAGGCUUUGAAAAAGAUGAAAUUAUUCAUUCUAAUUGGUCUUUUGUGCAACUUCACAAAAACAUAGACCCUUCUAAGAAAAUCACGUGCAUCAUUACUGCUUUCAAUGUAAAUGUGAGCAACUCCAUCAAUUUGAAUGAAUGUAUCCGGAAAGGUAAGUUUUUGUGUCUUUUAUGUGGUGGUUCUUCAGGUUGCAGACUGAACUAAGAUGAGUGACACCAUAACAAGGGAGAGUUGUAGUAGAAAGAUGAUGAGCAACUCCAUCAAUUUGAAUGAAUGUAUCCGGAAAGGUAAGUUUUUGUGUCUUUUAUGUGGUGGUUCUUCAGGUUGCAGACUGAACUAAGAUGAGUGACAAGGGAGAGUUGCAGUAGAAAGAUGAGGAAAGAAUCUCCUAGUUUUAAGUGUUACGAUUUCUUUCUGAAGUUGUUGGGAAUAGCGUUGGGGCUGUGUGAGUUUGAGAACUCUGUCUCGCUUUGCCAUCAGAGAACUACAGGUACUGACUGCCAAAUGUAGUCUAGCACAGUGGUCCCCAACCUUGGGCCUCCAGAUUUUCUGAAGUUGUUGGGAAUAGCGUUGGGGCUGUGUGAGUUUGAGAACUCUGUCUCGCUUUGCCAUCAGAGAACUACAGGUACUGACUGCCAAAUGUAGUCUAGCAGUCACUGUAAUAUAGGUAUAUCCUGAAAAAGACAGCAGAAGCAGCAGGAAAACAACCAUUGUGGGUGAGAGAAGGAGAAAUAAGAAUGUAUGAAUUGACCUGAAUGUAAUUGCCAAUUCACAUUUGUCUGUACCAAGUGGUAUAAAUUGCAGAGGCAACGUGCUGCUAAUUAACAAGGAGCUUUUUGUGUUCCUGCAUGUGUGGUCAGUCACAUGAUCAGACAUAUUCAGUGCCUUGUUAAUUAGUAGUAAUUUGUUAUGGCAGCUCAAAUGUGAUUUACACAAGCAUACACUGGCAUUGGAUUCUAGCCAGUAUGACCUGUGAUGCAGUUUGGGAUUAAAGUUGGGUUCUGGGGCUAAAAAAUUCAGAGAUUUAGGCUUCUUCCAGACAGGACAUUGUUCUUCAUAAUGCAUCUGAUUCUGCACUGAUGUUUUCUGUAUUUUCCCCACAAUCUUUGUGAUCUCCCCUCUUGUCUAAGAUAAAUGCAGUGACAAUUUCCAUGAGUUUCCAUGCUUUUUUCCCCUCCUGAAGGUAUACAGUGGUACCUCGCAAGACUAUUACCCCGCAAAACUUUUUUUUGCUAGACCGCUAGACGUUGACUUUUUACAAUCGCAAUAGCGAUUCGCAAAACGGUUUUUCCUAUGGGGGAUUUUGCUGGACAAUGAUUUGGUCCAUGCUCUGCAGACCGUUUUUUCACAAGACGAUGAUUUUUACAGCUGAUUGGCGGCUUCGCAAAAUGGCUUCCCUAUGGGCGAUCUUCGCAAAACAGGUGUUUUAUGGACUAAUGCUUCGCAAGACAGCGAUUUAAACAGCUGAUCGGCGCUUCGCAAAAUGGCUUCCCUACAGGCGAUUUUCGCUGGACAAUGACUAUUUCCCCCCAUUGGAACACAUCAAACGGGUUUCAAUGCAUUCCAAUGGGGAAAUGCUUUUCGCUAGACGAUGUUUUCACAAGACAGCGAUUUCAAUGGAAUGGAUUAACAUCGUCUAGCGAGGCACCACUGUAUUUAUUUUCAGUCAUACUUUGUUAUUGGAGGGGACAAAUUUAGUGCUGUGACUCUUUCCAUUGGACAUGGAUUUCUGCAGUUAGAGCCUCUUUGUUGGAAGCUUUCCGUUAGCUAGAGAUGCUCCAGGAGGGAAGGAUUUUUACAUUUUUUUAAAAAAAGAUGUCAAGGUCCCCUGAGGAAGCAGUUUUGAGAGAGGCUUCUUUUUAAAACUACAGUGUGGCCCUGAAUAAUGAUAUGCCCUACACGCCUUUAUGACCAAGUAGCAGAAAGAGGGUGGGGUGUUUUCCCUGUCUGGAACAGCCUUUACUCUUUUGUCAAGCUGAUAAAAAGAGUUUCGUGAAGAACUCGGGCCAAUUUUACUUUCAAGUUUUUAGUUUUAUGUUCUUUUUUCCCUGUGGAUAGUAAAACACAAAUGCCUAAUCACACUCUUCUUAAUUUUUGAUUACUUAUUCUGUUUCAUUUUGUUGGCUAAUGUUUUCAUUUUUUUAAACAACCAGAUCAUCAGAUUGGAGGUAGAAGUAGAAUUCAGAUUCUCUUGGCUGUAAUCAUUGUAGCGCUGGUGGUAAUAGGAAGUUACAUUUACCUAAUAAAAGGUAUGUCUGUCUUUUCUGCCUUAAUGAA
Molecule: long non-coding RNA, 3578 nt
Organism: Pogona vitticeps (central bearded dragon)
Lineage: Eukaryota; Metazoa; Chordata; Lepidosauria; Squamata; Agamidae
Source: Ensembl